Dendroctonus ponderosae (mountain pine beetle) is the source of this 1223-nucleotide long non-coding RNA. RefSeq lists it as uncharacterized. The transcript has 2 exons. NCBI's taxonomy places the organism in Eukaryota, Metazoa, Arthropoda, Insecta, Coleoptera, Curculionidae. The record is from RefSeq and is a predicted model, not a curated record.
UCCGGUAUCCAUGAAUAAACAUGAAGCAAAGAAAAUAAAAGAGACAAUAAGAUGCGUCGAGGUUAGAAUAACGGUGUCACCUUGCGGUCAGUGCUGCCAUCUUUUUGGGGCAAAUUAGUGAUAUACCUAAAUAGGUCUCAACUGUCAUCCAAAACCACCGGUUAAAGGUUAUGUAUCAUUGAUCAAUAUUAUUGAUCAAAUAAAAUGCAAUUCUGUUGUUAAAACACAAGUGUUCCCAAGAGCAAGAAGUCCUGCCCGUAUCACUCCAAACAUCUUUGCCCAAUCCCUGUGAGUGGGCUCAUAUUUUGAGCAGCUUCUCGUGUUCGGUUAAUUAACUGCUGCUCAAUUUGAACCGGUGUUCGAAAGUUCAAAGAUUUAAUGUGUUCUAGUGUCCUGUGCAUGUUACAUACAUGGUAGGAAUGUAGGCCCUUCCUCGAUGGAGUUAUUGGGACGAUUAAGUAUCCGGUGUUUGGGAAAGUGCAUUUGUUGUGCAAUGCAUCAAGUACUCUUGGAAGACUCAGGAGCAAUAAUCUCCAAUACCUGUUCCUAUAGGUCUGGAAACCGAGCACCUUUAGAUUGUCCACUAUCUGCGUCCAUUUCGGGACACUCGUCUAAUGUGUAGCUCUUUGCUAGUCUGUUCCGAGCCGGUUCGUUUAAAAGUUUGCGAUGUUUUGCGAUCGCAGGACAUUCAUCAUUGGACUGACAAAGGAGGACGCUAAUCGCGCCCCCCUUCUGCUUCAUCCCUCCGACAGAUUUGACUCCUCCGGCCUUUGUCUCUACCAGCAAUUUUAAGCGAUUAUUACCAUGAAAGAGCCACAAAUCAGGAUAAAACUUCCCGGAAAUGGGGGAGUGAAUCUACAAAUAUCAACGUGCAUUAUUUCGGUAUUUUGACUUAGAAUUUUCUGAUGUUCUUCCUUAGUAAGUUAUGUAAAACUUUUUCAAAUGUGCACUUGUCUUGAUUGAAACAAUAAGAAAAUAAAUGAAAACAGAAAUUUUGCGUCCCCUCAAAACCUACGGAAACGUAGGAAGAUAAAGCGAUCACCUCUACCAGGAAAAUGGAUCUGAAACUAAAAAACAAACACGAAACAGAAGAUUAAUGCUGAGCUGUCUCCCGACUUUCUUCGGGGUAUUUUUCACGUAACCAUCGCCGCACACACACACACUUCGUAGUUACACCUAUAAUUUUCCUCUAAUCCAAAUAAAUUUCAUCGAUUUUUGACGAA